CAUUUAUUUAUUUGUAUAUUUAAUUUAAAUGUGUUGUUAGUUAAAUAACAUGGCUAAUUACUUUAUGGGUUUUCAGAAAUUAGAAACUACAAUUCAAUUUUUACAGAAUGAAUUAAAAACAAGAAAUUCACCACAUACAACUCUCUAGACUUUAUACAAAUUUGGUAACAAUAUAUUUCUUAUAUCUGUUUUAUGUAGUUUAGUCUUUAAUAAUAAAAGUUUUUUUUUACAAAUAAUUAUUAGUUUUAAAUUUAUGAAUAUAUUAAUGCUCCAGUUAACCAGUCUAUAAAUAUAAAAUACAGAGCAAAUUUG
Non-coding RNA from Cinara cedri, 312 nucleotides. Lineage: Eukaryota; Metazoa; Arthropoda; Insecta; Hemiptera; Aphididae. The record is from the annotation of a GenBank genome assembly.